CGGUAAUUCCAGCUCCAAUAGCGUAUACUAAAGUUGUUGCAGUUAAAAAGCUCGUAGUUGGAUUUCUGCGGGGACGGAGCGGCCGGUCGCAACUUGCGACUCGAGCUAGCGCUUUCCCCGCAUCCUGCCGCGAACCGUGCUACCAUUAGUUUGGUGGCGCUGGGGAUCGGCUCGAUUACUUUGAGAAAAAUAGAGUGUUCAAAGCAGGCCACACGCCUUGAAUAAGUUAGCAUGGAAUAAUGACUAAGGACUUUGGUUCUUUUCGUUGGUGUUCGGGACUGAAGUAAUGAUUGAUAGGGACAGUUGGGGCGGUCCGUAUUCCAAAGCGAGAGGUGAAAUUCUUAGACCUUCGGAAGACGAACAGCUGCGAAAGCGUUCCGCAAGGAUGUUCCCUUUGAUCAAGAACGAAAGUUGGGGGAUCGAAGACGAUCAGAUACCGUCGUAGUCUCAACUAUAAACUAUACCAGCUAGGGAUCGGCCAACGUUUAAUUUAUCGACUUGGUCGGCACCUUAUGAGAAAUCAAAGCAUCUGGGUUCCGGGGGGAGUAUGGUCGCAAGGCUGAAACUUAAAGGAAUUGACGGAAGGGCACCACCAGCCGUGGAGCCUGUGGCUUAAUUUGACUCAACACGGGAAAACUUACCAGGUCCAGACAUAGGAAGGAUUGACAGAUUGAUAGCUCUUUCUUGAUUCUGUGGGUGGUGGUGCAUGGCCGUUUUUAGUCGGUGGAUGUGAUCUGUCUGCUUAAUUGCGUUAACGGACGAGACCCCAGCCUGCUAAAUAGCGCGGCCGAGCUUUGCUCGGUGCGAGCUUCUUAGAGGGACCAUGAUGCGCGAUAGCACAAGGAAGUUUGGGGCAACAACAGGUCUGUGAUGCCCUUAGAUGUUCUGGGCCGCACACGGGCUACACUGGCGCCUGCAACGAGCAUAUCAGCUGGCCCGAGAGGGUCUUGGCUAAUCUUUGGAACCGGCGCCGUGCUUGGGAUUGACCAUUGCAAUUGUUGGUCAUGCAACGAGGAAUGCCUUGUAAACGCGAGUCAUCAGCUCGCAUUGAAUACGUCCCUGCCCCUUGUACACACCGCCC
RNAcentral lists this ribosomal RNA (1081 nucleotides) under uncultured Rhizaria. RNAcentral describes it as "SSU rRNA". It matches the Rfam family "Eukaryotic small subunit ribosomal RNA", at positions 577 to 1674 of the family's 1831-position model. The record is from RNAcentral.